GGAGGAUCCAAGCGUUAUCCGGAAUCAUUGGGUUUAAAGGGUCCGUAGGCGGUUUAGUAAGUCAGUGGUGAAAGCCCAUCGCUCAACGGUGGAACGGCCAUUGAUACUGCUAGACUUGAAUUAUUAGGAAGUAACUAGAAUAUGUAGUGUAGCGGUGAAAUGCUUAGAGAUUACAUGGAAUACCAAUUGCGAAGGCAGGUUACUACUAAUGGAUUGACGCUGAUGGACGAAAGCGUGGGUAGCGAAC
RNAcentral lists this ribosomal RNA (247 nucleotides) under uncultured Flavobacterium sp. Its description in RNAcentral is "partial 16S ribosomal RNA". It matches the Rfam family "Bacterial small subunit ribosomal RNA", at positions 527 to 773 of the family's 1533-position model. Lineage: Bacteria; Pseudomonadati; Bacteroidota; Flavobacteriia; Flavobacteriales; Flavobacteriaceae. The record is from RNAcentral.